This is a long non-coding RNA of Peromyscus eremicus (cactus mouse), 716 nucleotides long. RefSeq lists it as uncharacterized. The transcript is spliced from 3 exons. The record is from RefSeq and is a predicted model, not a curated record. Lineage: Eukaryota; Metazoa; Chordata; Mammalia; Rodentia; Cricetidae.
CAUGUCAGAUGCCUGUUUGCUUUAGGUACCUGCUUCACUGGCCGCUGUCAAAAGACUGUUAAGAAGCUGCUCUAUAGUGCUGAGUCCUGCGGGGCUUGGUCCUGGGACCCUGACUGGAGUGGUAGAAGAAAUGAACAGAUGGAAUGAAGAAAGGACAGACACACAGACAUAUACAGAAAAGUCUCCAUGCUGAGAAAUACUCCAGGGUUCUGAGCACAUGUAUCACAGCUGACUUGGAGUGAAAUGAAGAAAACCAACCCUGGUGGAUUAGCACUGAAGACACUCCUAAUUUCCCCAGCAGCAGAAACGGGAUGACCUAAGUCUGUGUGUAUAAGUUACAGAUUUCACCCACCAUGGAGAGCGAGAGGCCAAAUAUUUGUUGGGUCCAAUUCAAAGGCCAUGAAAGAAUCCUCCAGAUUUGGGCUAUUUCCAUCCCUCUUAGGUAAGUUUAAACACAUCCUCUUGGUUCUAAGGAAAACAGCUUGUAAAAUAUUUGGGAGCUCUUGGGACAUCAAACAGCUCUUGGAGGACUAUACUUUAAUGGUUUACUUGUAAAAGAAUCAGUAAAAGAAGCAGAAACAUGUGGUUUAAAUUUUUUUCUGAAUAUAUGAGCUAUUUUGUAGGCAUCUUUUGCCUUUUUCCUGAGGGUCUCCACACAUGUUUGAAUGCUUAUCCUAAAAACACUGAGAAUACACUUUAUAUGCACUGAUACAGCU